AAUGAACGCUGGCGGCAGGCUUAACACAUGCAAGUCGAACGAGAACGCACCUUCGGGUGUUAGUAAAGUGGCAAACGGGUGAGUAACACGUGGGAAUGUACCUUUUGGUUCGGGACAACAGUUGGAAACGACUGCUAAUACCGGAUAAGCUCUACGGAGGAAAGAUUUAUCGCCAAAAGAUCAGCCCGCGCAAGAUUAGCUAGUUGGUGGGGUAAUGGCCUACCAAGGCAACGAUCUUUAGCUGGUUUGAGAGGAUGAUCAGCCACACUGGGACUGAGAUACGGCCCAGACUCCUACGGGAGGCAGCAGUGAGGAAUAUUGGACAAUGGAGGAAACUCUGAUCCAGCCAUGCCGCGUGAAUGAAGAAGGCCCUAGGGUUGUAAAGUUCUUUUAGUUGGGAAGAUAAUGACGGUACCAACAGAAAAAGCCCCGGCUAACUCCG
This 442-nucleotide ribosomal RNA is filed under the name uncultured Rickettsiaceae bacterium. RNAcentral describes it as "bacterial SSU rRNA". It matches the Rfam family "Bacterial small subunit ribosomal RNA", at positions 29 to 505 of the family's 1533-position model. The record is from RNAcentral. Lineage: Bacteria; Pseudomonadati; Pseudomonadota; Alphaproteobacteria; Rickettsiales; Rickettsiaceae.